This 656-nucleotide unclassified non-coding RNA is filed under the name Nilaparvata lugens (brown planthopper). Its description in RNAcentral is "uncharacterized LOC120354003, transcript variant X5". Lineage: Eukaryota; Metazoa; Arthropoda; Insecta; Hemiptera; Delphacidae. The record is from RNAcentral.
AUAUUUAUUUAAUUUAUGCUAGGCCUAAUUGGAAACUAUUUUUCAGAUAACAAUAGCAUUAGGCUACUACUGCCUAUAUCGUACCUAUAUUUUGAGUUUUCUGUGAAGAACGAAUGGCUCAAGUUAAUGAAGCUAAUGAAAUAUCAAAAACCUACCAAAAAUAAAAAUGCCAGUUAUGUCUGCCUGUCACCACAUAGAAAGCUUUCCGAAAGACACAAUUCCUUGGUGAACCUAUUGUACUGCAUCAUAAAAGCGGAAGAAGGAGGUGAAAUCAACUUGCCGACUGUUUAGCUGUGGUAAAAGCUAUCAAAUCCAUGAAUCCAGGAACCUAUUCAAUUCUCAAGAACAUCUCUGUCAUAAUGUGGUCGGACCCGUUCACCAAGGAAGGCACAUAGAAGACUGGCUUAUGAUGGCGAAAGACUUUUGAAGGCGGUUACCUUGAUUGGGAUCAUAUCUAUUAAACCUUCGAAUCCUGCACUCAAAAGUAAAUGUGAUACCAUUCAAAUGGAAUAAGAUUGAUUUGAAUUGGAAUUUGUUAUUCCUGUAUCAUAGUGCAUUUUUCUACUAGUUACCCUACGUAUUGUACAUUAUUGUAAUAAAGCACUAGCUGUUCCAUAGUAGAAGUCUUUGAAAUAAAAGGUUUCUUUUUCAAGUUA